GCAGUGCCCUAUUUAGGAAGGCACUAUUCAUAAUUAUUAUAUUAUGAAGUGCAUCUUCCUGAAUAGAGUAAUGCU
Pteropus alecto (black flying fox) is the source of this 75-nucleotide non-coding RNA. Lineage: Eukaryota; Metazoa; Chordata; Mammalia; Chiroptera; Pteropodidae. The record is from Rfam.